UACGUAGGGUGCGAGCGUUGUCCGGAAUUAUUGGGCGUAAAGCGCGUGUAGGCGGCUCGGUAAGUCUGCUGUGAAAGUCCAGGGCUCAACCCUGGGAUGCCGGUGGAUACUGUCGAGCUCGAGUCCGGAAGAGGCGAGUGGAAUUCCUGGUGUAGCGGUGAAAUGCGCAGAUAUCAGGAGGAACACCAAUGGCGAAGGCAGCUCGCUGGGACGUGACUGACGCUGAGACGCGAAAGCGUGGGGAGCAAACAGG
RNAcentral lists this ribosomal RNA (253 nucleotides) under uncultured bacterium. RNAcentral describes it as "partial 16S ribosomal RNA". It matches the Rfam family "Bacterial small subunit ribosomal RNA", at positions 524 to 776 of the family's 1533-position model. The record is from RNAcentral.